AGCAAGGCCGCUGACAGCGCAGCGCCCCACCCGGGCGAAGGCGCGGGGCUCAACGGAGAGGGGACGGGGCGUGGUGAGACUGUAAUGGGCAAUGAACAUGAACUAUUCAGGGGAAGAUUGUUAAAUGAAAGAAUCUCACUGGGCGGGGAGCUAAGCAUGACACCUGGCCACCUGCCUGUGCCUGUCCUGCCGAGAAGAGAGAAGAGGCCUUGAAAGCAGCCAGAGGGGGUGCACACCAGCCUGGGCAGGGGGCAGUAAGCGGGAGCAGCCCCGACCCGAGACCAGCAGCCCCUCUCUUCACCUCCAAGCCGGAGCGUGGCCUCAUCCCUCCCAGGUGACUCUCUUCCCAGAAAUGGUGCUGUCUCAAGAAGCCCCCUCUCUCCAAGCAUCUGCCAGGCCGUUUGAGCUGCCAGGAGUCUUUGUCCUGCCCCACCAGCUCUGUCUCAUCUAGAUGGGGCCUUCUGUCCAGUGCUACUGAACAGAAUGUUCUGCAUGCCUGGCCAGUGCAGAGACCU
This is a long non-coding RNA of Homo sapiens (human), 515 nucleotides long. Ensembl annotates it as HTT antisense RNA. Its record names the gene HTT-AS. The record is from Ensembl. Lineage: Eukaryota; Metazoa; Chordata; Mammalia; Primates; Hominidae.